CUUCAACGACACUUGACCGAACGGCCUGCGGUGCUUUUUGUCCCUUUGUCCGCCCCGUAGAAACGGGAAGUACAAGAGAAAGCUACUGAAAAAUAAAAACAAAUUGAUGCUAAAACAUCCAAACAUAUUUGUCCCAAAAUGGACAGUCAGAACCCAAAGUCAACGAAUAACGAUUCACGCUGCGUAUUUUUUAACACAGUUUCAGAAGACUACCAAUGUGUAAGUAGCUGGCAUACUUGUAAACUCAUUAUAGGCGCUUGUUUUUAGCUCACGUUAACUUACGUUAGUUUGCGACAUAGCAUGUAGUUGUUAGCUCACUAAUAGUUCGGUCAUUUUGUAUUAGAGCUGAUUCAUUGACCGACUCUCCGACACGCUUUAAAGGCACAACUGAGCUGCUGACUACCGACGCUGCAGCGCGACCGUUAGCUCGACCGGCUCACUAGCUAGCGCGAGCUAACGUUCCUCUGUCGGCUCUGCUAAGCUACUGAAGCUAAGCUAGCUGAGCAUUAUUACUCAAGCGAGCAGCGGUGUUUUACAUGCGUGACACGCUGUGGAAGCUAUGCAUGGAGACAAGGAGAGUUUCCUAUCUUUAAAUUAGACCAUGAGCCUGUUUUUCUCUUCAGUUAGCCGGAGAGAAGGACAGCAGCACAACAAAGAUAAGACUACAACAUCCGUGGUGAAAUACAACUGAAUACACGUAUUCGUGUCCUUCACUGAAUUGCUUGUACUUCACUUAAGUAUACACACUUUGCUGUGUGCAAUUUUAUUCGUUUAUUUCAAUACAUGUCCGAGGGUAAUGCACGUUUUACUUCACUAAAAGGCAGUAGAGUAACACUAUUAUUUAAAGAAACGUACCCACUGCUUUGUAUAUCAACACUAUGAAUUAAAUCCAUUAUAGUAGAUCAAUCUCCCCAGCAGUAUGUAAAGACGUCACUCUUCCCCUACCUAUUUUAACAUUUAAGUAAUUUGGGAAUAUUCUGCUAUUUCUACAUUUACUAAAGUUAAUGAUCUUGAUAAUGAUCUGAAUACACACUAUAUAUAUAUAUGAAUAUAUCUCCAAGCGCUAGUACAGCACUGAUGACGUCCAGUUUUAAUGCACAUAUUGUCAGUUGCGUUGGACAAAAACAUCAGUCAAAUGAAUAUUACGUAGUGAUUUAUAAUUUUGUUGUAUUUAAUAGCAACAUUGCAAAUUGUCCAAGACGACAACACUAAACAUAGGCUAUAAAAUAUCCAGGGCUUGAAUAAACAACUCUCUGGCAGAGCAUCAGAACAAAAAUAACUCAUCAUGACCUUCAUAACUUGCGGAUGCAAAGGUCUCUUGAAAUCCCGCCAGGUCGUAGCAUUGAGUACACACCCAGAGGAUGACAAUUAACCCGUCUUCACAAAACACAGCAGGCUACCGUAGUUCCAUAGAUGGUCUCUGUCUGUGGUGCGUUGGUGUUAACGUGCGAAGGUAAAAUGUUCUUGUGUCAGCAGCUUUAGGCUGCAGGUCAUCCUGCACUCGCUCGGCCUGAAUAAGAAUGCUGCACCAAUGCUGUCUUCCCUUGAGCCCACAUUUCUCUUCCAACUACGAGCAGUCGCUGACGAUACAAGCACUGGAUCCCAGUGCCCUGCCCACGGUCUUAUUAACCCAAAUAAAGACGGCCCACAGCAACCAAGCAGUUAUACCGGUUUGAGUUUGGUAACACCCAAAGUGGUCGUUUUCAUCAUUUAUUCACCAUAACUCUUCCAUUUUAUCCACUAUUCAUGUGUUCUUGCCAUCGGUUCUGUUUGUUGCAUCAUCCUCGUUUUUUCACAAUUUUCACAAUUUCAGUUGUUUCAGUUCCUCAUUCGUGCUGCUAUAGUACACCAUUUACUCAAUGUAAUCACAGUUAGUCAAACUAAAGUUGUCUGGGAUAUUUUGAUAAUCUAUCCAUCGUUGAAGUAAGUUUUUUGACAAAAAGCAAACGUUUCCUUGUUCAAGUUUUGGUGUUUGUCUUUGAUCUAAUAAAUCUCAGGUAUAUUUGUGUAAAACAUUACACAGAUGUUUGUGUGACUUGCAUUUCAUAAAGAGGGAAAUCCGUACAGCAGAAAGGCAUAUAUAAAGGCAUAAUAAAGGUUUCCAAAAAGCCAGAUCACGUCUGCCCUAUUAAUAAGACAAAAUGUAGGAAAAUACAGUCUUUUAACACUCUGGCAGUUGCGUAAUGGGAGCCAUCAUUGAAAUGUAAUUAAAUCAGUAAUAAAAUGUUACAAGACUGUUGACCAUGUUUCUUUAUCUGUCCAAAAAUCUUACGUUACUUCAAAAACACCCUGAGUCCAUACGGGAACAGGUGGUGAUUUUAAGGGUAAAACGAGCCACAGGAACCUUCUCCUUAGUAGGAUGCGUUUUCAUGCUCUUUGUGAUUUGGCUGCUUCGCAGGUAUCACUCUCUGGCUCAGAAGAUGAUUCUCAGCCUGACUGUAGCUGCCUUCUUCAACAGUGUAGCAUACGUCAUGGGUGACUCACAUCCAGUGGGAGCUCUGUGUGACUUCCAGGCCUGCUGGUUAACUUACUUUGACUGGAGUGCCUUGGCCUGGGUUUGUCUCAUCACUCUGAACCUCUACCUCAACCUGGUGAGAGAAAUCAGCACCAACCGAUACGAGAUGUUGUACCAUCUGAUGGCGUGGGGGCUUCCUCUGGUCAUGGCCUCCCUGCCCCUGCUAAAGGGCUACUACGGCCCCGCUGGAGCCUGGUGCUGGAUCACAGACGAUCACGUAGCCUGGAGAUUUGGGAUAUGGUACGUGCCUCUGUUCAGCCUCAUCUUCUUGAUGAUCUGCUGCUACGCGCGGAUAAUCUGCGUGGCCACCGCAAGGAUGCAGUCAUGGUUGGGAACCUUCAACCCAGAGAGAGAGAGACGAAAGGUAAUGGCCUGUCCGAGAGUCACAUUUCUCCACGCACGCACACACCGAGCGUGAGGAUUAGAGUGUGUGCAGGAUUAGCUUUGGUGUUCCCGCUGGGUAGGUGUCAAACGGCGGGGAGCAAUUUGACCUUGUGACACUUGUGUGUGUGCGUUUCAUGGGCUUGUGUGUGUCCGUCUGUGCGCGCCAGCCCGUCCAUGCAUAUUUAAAUUUUGGAGCAGCGGCGCCUCUGCUCCUGACCUUACUGAAAGGAAAAGAAGGACAGGGGAGGCUGCCUGGGAAAAAUAUUAAGAUCUAGAGCAGUCCGAUUGUGAAAACAGGACAUGGGCUGCCGGGGAAAAGAGGAGAACGCCUCAACCUCCGGUUCUGCCGAGGGAACCCCGCGCGGCGUGUUACUGUCAUUCCCUCUACGGCCCAGCAGGGGGCGACUCCUCUGGUGGCAGAAAGAAGUCCUAUGUACGAUGUCUCUAUGAUGAAAGUCCUGCUUUGAACAGGACCGUGUUGACAUGCUGUAAAUUGCAAAUACGUCGACCGGGAAUCGUUGUGGUUGUGCAGUGAAGAAGGAAGAAGACCACCAGUGAAAACAACCCGAACCAAACUGCUAUUCCGAAGAGGAGUCAUAAUUAACUGUAACAUAUUAACAGACUUCUGUAUUGCCUUUGCACAAGUCCAGUAAGGAAGAAAGAAAGUCAGGUAAUCCAUUUAUUAUCAGACGACUAACGUUCGAUAUCCUGUAAACUAGGGGUGCCCAACCAACACGCCGCGGACCAGUACCGGUCUGUGGGCCAUAUUGACCAAUCCGCGAUUUAUUGUCUCAUAUGAAAACGGUCCGACGGGCAAAAAAGGUUGGAGACCCCUGCUGUCCCCAACCUGUCAAUCUAAUAACUGGCCUUCUUUGACGUGCAGUUGGGUUUUCAGUGGACUGUUUGUAAUGUCAGUCUGGUGCGGAUGCCAAGUUACAAAAAUUCUGAGAUGCCCGUCCAUGAGCGACAUUUCACGCUGUUACAGAGAAACGUUUGUAUGUAAUUCAUUGUCGUGUGAAGCAUUUUACAUUUAAAAGAAAACAUUCUUUCUGAAAUGUGUUCAAAAAAAAAUUGUCCCCUACAUGUAUGGAAGAGCCGUACUAAUCUGCUGGACAGCAAUGGAUUGAUAUGCAAUCAUUAAUUUCCAUUACUGGUAUCGGGAAGUGGCAUCUAACACCUGCCCACACAGAACUACUGCCCAAUGGUUUAAGCCUUGAAAUCCUGCACAAAGGUGCUCAGGGUCACACUCCUAUUCACCACGCGUCCAGCAGCAGCAGCAGUACCUGUUCUGUUGUUACCCCCCCCCCCUCCAGGGUGCGCUGGGGGGGGGGGGCAGUUUAGGGUUAAGGUUAUGUAGAUGCUGCCCCUAAGUGGCAGAUGUAAUUACUGCACAUUGAACUGGCGUAACCCUCACCGCCCAGACAACACACGCACACACACACACACACACACACACACUGUUCAUGUGGGCUAAUUGCUACGUGUAAAUAAGUCAGCAGGGUUUUUUUUUUAUCACACACUCGUUUCCUCGUAUUUCUCUUCCCCAAUCGCUCUCCUCGUUUCCAUCUGUUUUCCUCUGCCUCUCGCUUCGGUCCUCCUCUCUCUCUCUCUCUUCCCCCCCUACUCUUUUUUGUUCUCUCCUUCCCUCCCUCCGUCUCUCUCCCUCUCUUGUACCCAGCAUGAAUAAAGCAGCAAGCCAGGUUCAUGGACAUGAAUAUUUAUGAGUUUAUGCACGCGCUGCGAUGCUUUAAAACAACAACAACAGCCUCCCCGAUUGUGCUUGCCAAGCCAGCGAGCUCUCUGGCUUGUGUGUGUGUGUGUGUGUGUGUGUGUGUGUGUGUGUGUGUGUGUGUGUGUGUGUGUGUGUGUGUGUGUGUGUGUGUGUGUGUGUGUGUGUGUGGCAGCAGGUGUAAACUAGAGAAAGCGAUUCCUGCUGGGUGUCUGAAGACCGCCGGCUCUGGUUAUUUCCAUUCACUUCGCCACAUCUCCCUCCUGCUGUGCCUCACAUGUUCUCUGUCGCCAUCUCUCUCACACUGUGCCACACGCACACACACACACACACACACGCAUACAAGAGCAUGCAUGCUUCUUUUGUUUUGCAUUCACGCAUGUAGUUUCCUGCGUUCACCAUUCUUGAUCUUUUCUCUCGCUCUGACUCAGCCUGGCACCAUCCCCCUUCUUCGCUGUGUGUGUCUGUGUGUGUGUGUGUGUGUGUGUCUGUGUGUGUGUGGGGCUGGAGAGAUGACGUACGUAACUGGUGUUGGCAGUUAUCAGGGCCGUCAGUCACAUGGUUUCGACACAUCUCUCUGUGUCUCGAGCAAUUUGUUUGUGGUCACGCAUGAAUACGCACACACACACACACACACACACACACAGCGCACAAGGUCUUGGAGCAGCAUAGGUAAGUAGGGGGGGGGGGGGGGGGGGGGUAUUUAGA
Molecule: long non-coding RNA, 5336 nt
Organism: Gasterosteus aculeatus aculeatus (three-spined stickleback)
Lineage: Eukaryota; Metazoa; Chordata; Actinopteri; Perciformes; Gasterosteidae
Source: Ensembl